This is a non-coding RNA of Salmo salar (Atlantic salmon), 1867 nucleotides long. The record is from RefSeq and is a predicted model, not a curated record. Lineage: Eukaryota; Metazoa; Chordata; Actinopteri; Salmoniformes; Salmonidae.
CGGGCGCAGCCAGCUGAUUGGAGAGAAGGAGGAUGUUGCUGAGCGCUAUUGGACGGGGAUGGAGGACAGGAGCAGGAAGUGACAGAACUGAGGUCACCAAUCAAUCUCAAGGAUGCACUUGAGUCAGAAAUACCAGAGAUUGCAGAAUUGCUGGAGCGAGAAGUGGCAGGAUGUGGCCAUGGAUCUGAACACCGCCCAGGCAGAACUAGAGGAACCCAGAGAGAAGAAACCUGGCUAUUUACUUCAAGAAAAGGACAACUGAUGGUGGAGGUUGAGUCACUUCAGACAGAGAGGGGCAGAGAGACAAGUGAGUAUGGACCUCUGUGAUGUGUACACUACAUGGCUCUGUGAUGUGUACACUACAUGGCUCUGUGAAGUGUACACUACAUGGCUCUGUGAAGUGUACACUACAUGGCUCUGUGAUGUGUACACUACAUGGCUCUGUGAUGUGUACACUACAUGGCUCUGUGAAGUGUACACUACAUGGCUCUGUGAUGUGUACACUACAUGGCUCUGUGAAGUGUACACUACAUGGCUCUGUGAAGUGUACACUACAUGGCUCUGUGAUGUGUACACUACAUGGCUCUGUGAAGUGUACACUACAUGGCUCUGUGAAGUGUACACUACAUGGCUCUGUGAAGUGUACACUACAUGGCUCUGUGAUGUGUACACUACAUGGCUCUGUGAAGUGUACACUACAUGGCUCUGUGAUGUGUACACUACAUGGCUCUGUGAAGUGUACACUACAUGGCUCUGUGAAGUGUACACUACAUGGCUCUGUGAUGUGUACACUACAUGGCUCUGUGAUGUGUACACUACAUGGCUCUGUGAAGUGUACACUACAUGGCUCUGUGAAGUGUACACUACAUGGCUCUGUGAUGUGUACACUACAUGGCUCUGUGAUGUGUACACUACAUGGCUCUGUGAUGUGUAGCUCUGUGAUGUGUACACUACAUGGUACCCUGAGCUUGUACAAAUAUAAAUUCCUGACUGUCUACGCCUAUAACCAUAACAUUACUAAGAAAUCUGUUCUUCCUCAAGGAAGAGAUUCAGAAUCUUCUUCUGCACUGGGCCAGUACAGAGGUAGAGCUGUGCAGAGUCAGAAAACAUACUGGUUAUCUGUUGAAGGUAGAGCUGGAUGCUUGUAAACAACAGUUGGAGCUGGAGAGGAGCAUGAGUCAGGCUCUGCACAACACACUCAAAGAUAAAGGCAACCCUCAUAUUUUGGGAUUAAAUCUCAUAUAUUUGGAUUAAACCACAUAUUUUGAUAUUAAACCUCAUAUUUUGAUAUUAAACCUCAUAUGUUGAUGGUACAGAGCACAAGGGGGCGAUACACUCCUGUUUUUUACUGCAGGUGGGGAAGCAGUACACACUUCUGAUAAAGGGACAGAGACAGAGUGAGUAUGAGCCGAUUCUUCAAUAUAUAACAGUUUAGUAUUUUCUAUGGAUCUAGAUUUUAGAACUAGGACGACUUGCAUAAGCAUAGUAACGUAUACAUUCUGAUGAAUCCUAACCGUGUCUUUCUGUUGUCUGUCUCUAGACUCUAAAUGCAAUACAUCUUGAUUUUUACAGAGACAAAGGAACAUUUUACAUUUUUUAUGUCCUACUAUACCACUGCAGACACAGGCUGCACAGGUGUCUUUGGAGGAGUCGGAUGGUGAGUGAGGCCAGGUGAGGGCAGAGCUACAGAUGGUGCCCCUGGAGGAGGUGGCUGGGGCCAGGUGAGGGCAGAGCUACAGGAGGUGCCCCUGGAGGAGGUGGAUUGGGGCCAGGUGAGGGCAGAGCUACAGAUGAUGUCCUGGAGAAGGUGUUAAAGAUCUAUCUAUCUAUCUAUCUAUCUAUCUAUCUAUCUAUCUAUCUAUCUAUC